This is a ribosomal RNA of 802 nucleotides. The stretch from base 311 to 463 matches the Rfam family "5.8S ribosomal RNA".
UGCUCAGUUCCGUAGGUGACCUGCGGAAGGAUCAUUGCACACACGAGUUGCAGCCAACCCGCGGCGAACGAACACAUUGUCCCCCCCCUUCGGCGGGUCGUGGCGCCCUCGCGGCGUCGCGGCCGGCCGUCACCCCCUCGUCACGAGCGCGAGCUCCGUGGCGUCGGGUUUCCACACGAUGCAUCACCCGAACGACUGAGUCCCGAAUACUUGGAUGGGGGAGUGGGUGCGCGUUCCGUCCCCUCGAGCGAGCUCGGGGCGUGCGGCGCGCGCCGGUUACCUCACGACGAGUUGAAACAUAACCAAAAACAACUCUCAGCAACGGAUAUCUUGGCUCUUGCAACGAUGAAGAACGCAGCGAAAUGCGAUACGUAGUGUGAAUUGCAGAAUUCCGCGAAUCAUCGAGUCUUUGAACGCAAGUUGCGCCCGAGGCUUGUCCGAGGGCAUUUCCGCUAGAGCGUCACCGCGCCCCCCCACCGAUCCACUCUCGCCGCGAGGCGCCAGUCGGGUCGAGUGCAAGUGGCCGUCCCGGUGGAGCGGGCCUCCUUUCGGAGGAGGCCCGACUUGGAAGGGUCGGCUGAAAUGGAUGGAAUCGGGCCGCCGUGGUGACACAGUCCGCGAUCGGGUGAUUUCGUCGCGAGGCUCCUUCGGGAGGUUCUCGGCGAAUUUUUUCUAAGUGCUUGGCUGCGUCCCCCAGUUGGCUCGGGUUACCUCAUGCAGGUCGAGCGCCGCCCCCGCGGCGCGCGUCACGCCAUCAGAACCUCUAAUCGGAAAAGACUACCCGCUGAGGUUUAAGCUUCUU